This 661-nucleotide ribosomal RNA is filed under the name uncultured Candidatus Poseidoniales archaeon. Its description in RNAcentral is "bacterial SSU rRNA". It matches the Rfam family "Archaeal small subunit ribosomal RNA", at positions 1 to 668 of the family's 1478-position model. The record is from RNAcentral. Lineage: Archaea; Methanobacteriati; Thermoplasmatota; Candidatus Poseidoniia; Candidatus Poseidoniales.
UUCUGGUUGAUCCUGCCGGAGGCUACCGCUAUUGGAGUUCGAUUAAGCCAUGCGAGUCGAGAGUCCUCGGGACUCGGCGCACCGCUCAGUAACACGUGGGUAACCUGCCCUAUGCUGGGGAAUAACCUCGGGAAACUGAGAAUAAUGCCCCAUAGCCCACUACGCCUGGAACGGUGAGUGGGUCAAAGCUCCGGCGGCAUAGGAUGGGCCUGCGCCGUAUCAGGUUGUAAGGGGUGUAAAGUACCCUCUAGCCAUCAACGCGUACGGGUGUUGGGAGACAUUGCCCGGAGAUGGAUUCUGAGACACGAAUCCAGACCCUACGGGGUGCAGCAGGCGCGAAAACUUGGCAAUGCGAGCAAUCGUGACCAGGGAACUCCAAGUGCGUAGGGUAAGACCUACGCUUUUCUUGACUCUUCAAAGGUCUUGGAAUAAGGGGUGGGUAAGGACGGUGCCAGCCGCCGCGGUAAUACCGGCGCCUCAAGUGGUAGUCGCUUUUAUUGGGCCUAAAACGUCCGUAGCCGGUCUGGUGCAUUCGUGGGUAAAUCAACCCGCUCAACGGGUUGAAUUCUGCGAGCACGGCCAGACUUGGGACCGGGAGAGGUGUGGGGUACUCUCAGGGUAGGGGUAAAAUCCUGUCAUCCUGAGAGGACCACCUGUUGCG